RNAcentral lists this ribosomal RNA (1484 nucleotides) under uncultured Bordetella sp. RNAcentral describes it as "partial 16S-23S ribosomal RNA intergenic spacer". It matches the Rfam family "Bacterial small subunit ribosomal RNA". The record is from RNAcentral. Lineage: Bacteria; Pseudomonadati; Pseudomonadota; Betaproteobacteria; Burkholderiales; Alcaligenaceae.
AGUUCGAUUCUGGCUCAGGUGAACGCUGGCGGGAUGCUUUACACAUGCAAGUCGAACGGCGGCACGGACUUCGGUCUGGUGGCGAGUGGCGAACGGUGGUAAUGUCCGGAACGUGCCUAGUAGCGGGGGAUAACUACGCGGCGUAGCUAAUACCGCAUACGCCCUUCGAGAAGAAAGCAGGGGACCUUCGGGCCUCGCACUAUUAAACGGCCGAUAUCGGAUUAGCUAGUUGGUGGGGUAACGGCUCACCAAGGCGACGAUCCGUAGCUGGUUUGAGAGGACGACCAGCCACACUGGGACUGGACAGCCCAGACUCCACCGGGAGGCAGCAGUGGGGAAUUUUGGACAAUGGGGAAACCCUGAUCCAGCCAUCCCGCGUGUGCGAUGAAGGCCUUCGGGUUGUAAAGCACUUUUGGCAGGAAAACGGCACGGGAUAACGCAUUACUGCAACUGACGAAACACCUGCAGAAUAAGCACCGGCUAACUACGUGCCAGCAGCCGCGGUAAUGGCGAGUGCAAGCGUUAAUCGGAAUUACUGGGCGUAAAGCGUGCGCAGGCGGUUCGGAAAGAAAGAUGUGAAAUCCAGAGCUUAACUUUGGAACUGCAUUUUUAACUACCGAGCUAGGAAGAGUGUGUCAGAGGGAGGUGGAAUUCCGCGUGUAGCAGUGAAAUGCGUAGAUAUGCGGAGAACACCGAUGGCGAAGGCAGCCUCCUGGGAUAACACUGACGCUCAUGCACGAAAGCGUGGGAGCAAACAGGAUUAGAUACCCUGGUAGUCCACGCCCUAAACGAUGUCAACUAGCUGUUGGGGCCUUCGGGCCUUGGUAGCGCAGCUAACGCGUGAAGUUGACCGCCUGGGAAGUACGGUCGCAAGAUUAAAACUCAAAGGAAUUGACGGGGACCCGCACAAGCGGUGGAUGAUGUGGAUUAAUUCGAUGCAACACGCGAAAAACCUUACCUACCCUUGACAUGUCUGGAAUCCCGAAGAGAUUUGGGAGUGCUCGCAAAGAGAACCGGAACACAGGUGCUGCCUUGGCUGUCGUCAGCUCGUGUCGUGAGAUGUUGGGUUAAGUCCCGCAACGAGCGCAACCCUUGUCAUUAGUUGCUACGAAAGGGCACUCUAAUGAGACUGCCGGUGACAAACCGGAGGAAGGUGAGGAUGACGUCAAGUCCUCAUGGCCCUUAUGGGUAGGGCUUCACACGUCAUACAAUGGUCGGGACAGAGGGUCGCCAACCCGCGAGGGAGCCAAUCCCAGAGAAACCCGAUCGUAGUCCGGAUCGCAGUCUGCAACUCGACUGCGUGAAGUCGGAGUCGCUAUUGUCGCGGAUCAGCAUGUCGCGGUGAAUACGUUCCCAGGUCUUGUACACACCGCCCGCCACCACCAUGGGAGUGGGUUUUACAGAAGUAGUUAGCCCUAACCGUAAGGAGGGCGAUUACCACGGUAGGAUUCAUGACUGGGGUGAAGUCGUAACAAGGUAACUCU